AAUAAAUCGAUGAAUAAGAAGAGUAGACAUAAACUAAGCGUUACAGAGAGCCGGGCUAUUGGUGUGAUUCCGGUACGUGAAUGUAUGUUGAAUGGCCUUAUGAGAUGUUUCUUGAAGAAAAGUAGGGAAACACGGAACUCCGCCGUUACACGGAUAGGGUAUCAGAUUAAGAUCUCGUACCUGAAAAUGAGAUGUAAGGAAAGUUAUUUUUCCUUUCAAAUGAGGUGGCACCGCGAUUGCAUUCGUCCUCUAU
This 253-nucleotide non-coding RNA is filed under the name Virgibacillus sp. RNAcentral's name for it is "T-box sequence". It matches the Rfam family "T-box leader". From Rfam's summary of the family: Uncharged tRNA acts as the effector for transcription antitermination of genes in the T-box leader family. T-boxes are found upstream of many aminoacyl-tRNA synthetase genes and some amino acid biosynthetic genes usually in Gram-positive bacteria. The record is from RNAcentral. Lineage: Bacteria; Bacillati; Bacillota; Bacilli; Caryophanales; Bacillaceae.